GGCUCAGGAUGAACGCUGGCGGUAUGCUUAACACAUGCAAGUCGAACGGGAAUCUUAGGAUUCUAGUGGCGGACGGGUGAGUAACGCGUGAGAAUUUGGCUUCAGGUCGGGGACAACAGUUGGAAACGACUGCUAAUACCGGAUAUGCCGGAAGGUGAAAGAUUUAUUGCCUGAAGAUAAGCUCGCGUCUGAUUAGCUAGUUGGUGGGGUAAGAGCCUACCAAGGCGACGAUCAGUAGCUGGUCUGAGAGGAUGAUCAGCCACACUGGGACUGAGACACGGCCCAGACUCCUACGGGAGGCAGCAGUGGGGAAUUUUCCGCAAUGGGCGAAAGCCUGACGGAGCAAUACCGCGUGAGGGAGGAAGGCUCUUGGGUCGUAAACCUCUUUUCUCAGGGAAGAAAAAAAUGACGGUACCUGAGGAAUAAGCAUCGGCUAACUCCGUGCCAGCAGCCGCGGUAAUACGGAGGAUGCAAGCGUUAUCCGGAAUGAUUGGGCGUAAAGGGUCUGUAGGUGGUGCUGUAAGUCUGCUGUUAAAGAGUCACGCUCAACGUGAUAAAAGCGGUGGAAACUACAGGACUAGAGUGCGGUCGGGGCAAAAGGAAUUCCUGGUGUAGCGGUGAAAUGCGUAGAUAUCAGGAAGAACACCGGUGGCGAAAGCGUUCUGCUAGUCCGCAACUGACACUGAGGGACGAAAGCUAGGGGAGCGAAUGGGAUUAGAUACCCCAGUAGUCCUAGCCGUAAACGAUGGAUACUAGGCGUGGCUUGUAUCGACCCGAGCCGUGCCGGAGCUAACGCGUUAAGUAUCCCGCCUGGGGAGUACGCACGCAGUGUGAAACUCAA
This 841-nucleotide ribosomal RNA is filed under the name uncultured bacterium. Its description in RNAcentral is "bacterial SSU rRNA". It matches the Rfam family "Bacterial small subunit ribosomal RNA", at positions 21 to 904 of the family's 1533-position model. The record is from RNAcentral.